GAACGCACCUUGCACUCUUUGGUAUUCCGAAGAGUAUGUCUGUUUGAGUGUCAUGAAAUUCUCAACCCCCUUGUUUUGUAAUGAAACGAGCAUGGGCUUGGAUUAUGGCUGCUGCCGGCGUAAUUGUCGACUCGGCUGAAAUACACGAGCUACCCAUUUCUAAGAAAUAGACGGUUUGACUCGGCGUAAUAACAUAUUUCGCUGAGGACGUCACAUUCUUUAAACAUUAGUGGUGCUUCUAAUGCGACAUCUAAACCUAAGCUUUAGACCUCAAAUCAGUCAGGACUACCCGCUGAACUUA
This 301-nucleotide unclassified non-coding RNA is filed under the name uncultured fungus. RNAcentral describes it as "sequence contains 5.8S rRNA gene". The stretch from base 1 to 53 matches the Rfam family "5.8S ribosomal RNA", at positions 102 to 154 of the family's 154-position model. Lineage: Eukaryota; Fungi. The record is from RNAcentral.